GUAUCGGUCACCUUCUGGAUGCCACCGUGACAUGCCAAUUAGCUAACGUAACGAUAAGCCGGUGUGAAUGACCAGUACAACGGCGUUGUGGCAAGGUACUUCCCACUGGGCUAACUAACGUAGCCAAAUUGAUACAUCCCACUUGAUUAUAUUCUGAGUAGGAUAGCAGCCUAUAUUGGUAGUAACCAUCCGGAUGGCACUGAUGACUACUGAUCAGUGGAGAGACUUUGUGCUACAAACCAGUAACAGAACAACGUGAAACACAAUGUGUGCUUUGUUGCUGCUUGCCGACUAAUACUGAGCACUGCUGUCCUGCAGUAUGGAGAGGGAAGUAGUUAGAAGGUGAAGCUAAUAUCAGGCCAGUAUGGACAGGGAAGUAGUUAGAAGGUGAAGCUAAUAUCAGGCCAGUAUGGACAGGGAAGUAGUUAGAAGGUGAAGCUAAUAUCAGGCCAGUAAGGACAGGGAAGUAGUUAGAAGGUGAAGCUAAUAUCAGGCCAGUAUGGACAGGGAAGUAGUUAGAAGGUGAAGCUAAUAUCAGGCCAGUAUGGACAGGGAAGUAGUUAGAAGGUGAAGCUAAUAUCAGGCCAGUAUGGACAGGGAAGUAGUUAGAAGGUGAAGCUAAUAUCAGGCCAGUAAGGACAGGGAAGUAGUUAGAAGGUGAAGCUAAUAUCAGGCCAGUAUGGACAGGGAAGUAGUUAGAAGGUGAAGCUAAUAUCAGGCCAGUAUGGACAGGGAAGUAGUUAGAAGGUGAAGCUAAUAUCAGGCCAGUAUGGACAGGGAAGUAGUUAGAAGGUGAAGCUAAUAUCAGGCCAGUAUGGACAGGGAAGUAGUUAGAAGGUGAAGCUAAUAUCAGGCCAGUAUGGACAGGGAAGUAGUUAGAAGGUGAAGCUAAUAUCAGGCCAGUAAGGACAGGGAAGUAGUUAGAAGGUGAAGCUAAUAUCAGGCCAGUAUGGACAGGGAAGUAGUUAGAAGGUGAAGCUAAUAUCAGGCCAGUAAGGACAGGGAAGUAGUUAGAAGGUGAAGCUAAUAUCAGGCCAGUAUGGACAGGGAAGUAGUUAGAAGGUGAAGCUAAUAUCAGGCCAGUAUGGACAGGGAAGUAGUUAGAAGGUGAAGCUAAUAUCAGGCCAGUAAGGACAGGGAAGUAGUUAGAAGGUGAAGCUAAUAUCAGGCCAGUAUGGACAGGGAAGUAGUUAGAAGGUGAAGCUAAUAUCAGGCCAGUAAGGACAGGGAAGUAGUUAGAAGGUGAAGCUAAUAUCAGGCCAGUAUGGACAGGGAAGUAGUUAGAAGGUGAAGCUAAUAUCAGGCCAGUAAGGACAGGGAAGUAGUUAGAAGGUGAAGCUAAUAUCAGGCCAGUAUGGACAGGGAAGUAGUUAGAAGGUGAAGCUAAUAUCAGGCCAGUAUGGAGAGGGAAGUAGUUAGAAGGUGAAGCUAAUACCAGGCCAGUAAGGAGAGGGAAGUAGUUAGAAGGUGAAGCUAAUAUCAGGCCAGUAUGGAAAGGGAAGUAGCAAGAUGUAAAACUACUGUAUUAACAUCUACAUAACAAUGACUCCAGUGAAAAGGGAAUGAUUCUGUACAUUCUCCCAACUUCGACAGACAACUUUCAAAUUCUCGUUGAAGUUUCUAGCCACAAGCAUGAACUAGCUAGCUGGGAUGACUGACUGGACUGGAUCAGUUUAUCUCCACUCUGCUCUCGCUGCGUGAGACCCCAGGCGUGUCCGUAUA
Oncorhynchus keta (chum salmon) is the source of this 1722-nucleotide long non-coding RNA. RefSeq lists it as uncharacterized. Lineage: Eukaryota; Metazoa; Chordata; Actinopteri; Salmoniformes; Salmonidae. The record is from RefSeq and is a predicted model, not a curated record. The transcript has 5 exons.